AAAGAAUAUAGUAGUGUAUGCAG
This 23-nucleotide small nuclear RNA is filed under the name Arabidopsis thaliana (thale cress). Its description in RNAcentral is "snRNA_16209". Lineage: Eukaryota; Viridiplantae; Streptophyta; Magnoliopsida; Brassicales; Brassicaceae. The record is from RNAcentral.